UACGGAGGGUGCAAGCGUUGUCCGAAUCACUGGGCGUAAAGGGCGCGUAGGCGGCUCAUGAAGGCUGAGUGGAGAACCGGGGCUCAACCUCGGAUCGGCCGUGGCGACUCGUGGGCUGGAGCACUGUAGAGGCGGUGGAAUCCGGGUGUAGCGGUGGAAUGCGUAGAUAUCAUUUGGAACGCCAAUGGUGAAACAGGUAGCUGGGGCUGUGCUG
RNAcentral lists this ribosomal RNA (214 nucleotides) under uncultured bacterium. RNAcentral describes it as "partial 16S ribosomal RNA". It matches the Rfam family "Bacterial small subunit ribosomal RNA", at positions 524 to 742 of the family's 1533-position model. The record is from RNAcentral.